Molecule: ribosomal RNA, 576 nt
Filed under: uncultured bacterium
Lineage: Bacteria
Description: partial 16S ribosomal RNA
Source: RNAcentral
AUGCGCGUCGAGUUGCAGACCCCAAUCCGAACUGAGACCGGCUUUAAGUGAUUCGCUCAACCUCACAGUCUCGCAGCACUCUGUACCGGCCAUUGUAGCAUGCGUGAAGCCCAAGACAUAAGGGGCAUGAUGAUUUGACGUCAUCCCCACCUUCCUCCGAGUUGACCCCGGCAGUCUCACAUGAGUCCCCACCACAACGUGCUGGCAACAUGCGACGAGGGUUGCGCUCGUUGCGGGACUUAACCCAACAUCUCACGACACGAGCUGACGACAACCAUGCACCACCUGUACACCAGCCAAAAAGGCACGCACAUCUCUGCACGCUUCCGGUGUAUGUCAAGCCUUGGUAAGGUUCUUCGCGUUGCAUCGAAUUAAUCCGCAUGCUCCGCCGCUUGUGCGGGCCCCCGUCAAUUCCUUUGAGUUUUAGCCUUGCGGCCGUACUCCCCAGGCGGGGCGCUUAAUGCGUUAGCUACGGCGCAGAAUCCGUGGAAUGGACCCCACACCCAGCGCCCAACGUUUACGGCAUGGACUACCAGGGUAUCUAAUCCUGUUCGCUACCCAUGCUUUCGCUUCUCA